UUUUUCUUUUGUGUGUCCAUGACAAUGCAGAAGAAUUUAAGUUGUAUCGAUUUUUACGUGUUGCAGAAGCGUGGCAGAGAGGAGGCCGAUGAAACCAUGCCAGAGCUGACAUCUAUCCUUAAGGAGGUUGGAGAUGUUGGUAAAGGUUUGGUGAGGGGUGUGUAUCUCCUGAAAGCACCAAAGCUUCAGUAAACUACUUUGUGAAGAACUGAAGAUCUCAACGAACUAGCUGAUGCGCAAGAACGAUGCCUUCUAUUAUUUGCGGGAUAGCACAACUUCUAACUGGUUUUUUUCCCACUGGCAAGAUAGAAGCAUAGGUUCCAGGACAGUGUUUGUGCAUGCUGGCAAUAGAUUAAAUGUGGCAAUGUUCUCAUGAAAUCAUAAUGAUCUGUUGUGUUUAAAAUUUAUACUCGACAACUGAAAAGAUAAAAGAUCAAAGGUUUUGGGGUCUGUAUCCAAAUUUUGAUUUAGUAUAUAUCGAAAUGUAUUUUUUGCCACAUCUAUUGCAAUGAGAAUGCCAAUCCUCAAGCUUCAAGUACCAAGUUGCUUCUAUUUUGUUUCAUAUGAAAUGAGUACGAGCAGGUUCUUUGAACGCUGCUAGUCUGCUAAUGCCUGUCAUGAUCUGAUUUCGCGAUGUGGGAGCUCGAGAUUCGGAAACAUGAUGAUGCCGAUGUCUCGUCAUUUGCAGCUUUUAUGCAUUUUUGCCUUUCCAAGAGCCGGGAAGACCGUGUCCUUGUACGGUCGACAGCAACUUUGGCUUUUCGAAAUUUUUAUACAGGUAGUCAUCAAAUCAUUUCUAAAAAAACUUACUAAGAAAAUUCUAACAGUGUCGGCCUUAUACGGUUGACAAGCACUAUGAAGAAAAUGAAGCGUUAACAGAACCAAAAAACGAUGCUCUCGUUGAGAGUCGAACUCAAGACCUCCCGCUUACUAAACGGGUGCUCUAACCAACUGAGCUACGAGAGCUUUUAUGGUCGUAUUUUAAAAAAGUAAAAUAAACCAUCACUAACAAACACUGCGGAGUAAUGCUGAGAGCGUGGUAGCAAGUUUUUCCCCAUCUAUGUUUGAUCGGUGUAUAAUUUUUUCGUCAAAACCAAGAAAUGAUUAACUCGUCUUUUUCAUUUAAUCCUCGUGAUUAUCUGCUGUCACUGGACACGUAAUUGCUGCUCCUAUUUCCUGAUUCCCACGCAUCGUUGGUCUCUCUCUUCGCGCCACCUUAUUGCAGCCGACGCGAAACAGGCGGCCAUGAAGGGACGUUCAAUACUGGAAUUCCUUCUUUUUUUUUUGGUCAUGCAACGAUCAAAAGUGGAUGGAGGUAUACUUAUAGUUGGCAAGUAUGCAUACCCAUUUUCGUUGUUUGCGGGUGUGACCGCUCACUGGCUGGUUGCAAGUAGUUUUUAUCUUUGUAUUUUUUUUCUCUUUAAUAAAACUUUGCGGCAACUCUCUUGCCACCCUUUAAAAAAAACAAUAUGUAUAUCCAUCCCACGACGACACGACAAGCAAUGUAUAGCCACGCAAAUUAGAGUUGCAUACAUUUUUUCAUUCGUACGUACUGUACGACAUACACACACAUAGAUACAUGACGACGGAUCACGUACGAAGCCACGUAUACGGAACCCGUGGCCCCCUUAUUCAACACACGCAUACAUGUAUGUACGUACGCAGGAAAGCCAAAAUACACACACCGGGCGCGCGGGCCCGCCUCUCAGUCUCACACUCUCACACACGCGCAGCAUAUAUAUACGCGGAGAAAUUAAGAAGCGCAUACUAUGUAGACAAGAGAUACACGUCGGUGCUGGUGCAGAUGAGCUAGAUCAGCCGAAGAGGUGGUGGUGCUUCUUCUCGCCGCCGGCCUCCUCGGCGUCCUUGUGGUCCUUCUUCUUCUCGUGGUGCUCGUGGAAGGCGAAGCCGCCGGAGCCCACGGCCGCCGCCGCCGCGACCUCCUCCUCGAUCUUGUGCCGGUGCGCGUGCUCGGGGUCCUUCUUCGCCUCGUGCUUCUCGUACUGCAUGCACACAAGGAAUUAUUUAACUCAGAGCCAAAGUUCAUUCGCGUCGCGGCCGAUAGAUCACACAGUGAAAUUAAAGAUUGAUCAGCACAACGAAGGAAGCACGAAAGAUCGAGGAGGAGGAGGACGUACAAGAGCGAAGGCGCCGGCGGCGACGGCGCCUGCCUCGCCGAGGUGCUGCUUGUGCUUGUGCUCCUUCUCCUCCUUCUUGUACGUGUCGUACUCGUCCUCGCCGGUGGACACCACCUCCGUCACGGUCGCCUCCGUGUACUCGCCGUACCCGCCGGCGGGCUGCUCCGCCGCCUCAUCGUCCUUCUUGUGGUUGAAGAGGUGGUGGUGGUGGUGCUUCUCCUCCGCCAUGGAUGAAACGGGACGGCCUUGUUGAAGCGCGAGAGUGACAAUAGGAUGGUGGUGCUUGCUUGGUAGCUGAUGUGUUUGGCUUACUUGUGUUGCUGCUU
RNAcentral lists this long non-coding RNA (2464 nucleotides) under Setaria viridis. Its description in RNAcentral is "long non-coding RNA (SVIR_LNC008551)". Lineage: Eukaryota; Viridiplantae; Streptophyta; Magnoliopsida; Poales; Poaceae. The record is from RNAcentral.